RNAcentral lists this ribosomal RNA (559 nucleotides) under uncultured bacterium. RNAcentral describes it as "bacterial SSU rRNA". It matches the Rfam family "Bacterial small subunit ribosomal RNA", at positions 102 to 674 of the family's 1533-position model. The record is from RNAcentral.
ACGGGUGAGUAACGCGUAGAUAAUGUGCCCUCUUGCGGGGGAUACCGUUUCGAAAGGAACGUUAAUACCGCAUAAAGUCCUUGGGAGGCAUCUCCUAGGGACCAAACUUCCGGGGCGGGAGGAGCAAUCUGCGUACUAUCAGGUAGUUGGUGAGGUAACGGCUCACCAAGCCUACGACGGUUAACUGGUCUGAGAGGAUGAUCAGUCACACUGGAACUGAGACACGGUCCAGACUCCUACGGGAGGCAGCAGUGAGGAAUAUUGCGCAAUGGGCGAAAGCCUGACGCAGCGACGCCGCGUGGAGGAUGACGGUCUUCGGAUUGUAAACUCCUGUCAGUAGGGAAGAGAAUGGAAGGGUACCUACUGAGGAAGCUUCGGCUAACUACGUGCCAGCAGCCGCGGUAAAGACGUAGGGAGCAAGCGUUGUCCGGGAAUUACUGGGCGUAAAGAGCUCGUAGGCGGGAUCGUAAGUCUUAGAGUAAAUCUCACGGCUCAACCGUGGGGGCCUUCUGAGAUACUGCGAUUCUUGAGGAUGUCAGAGGAAAGUGGAAUUCCCGGU